This is a non-coding RNA of Phrynosoma platyrhinos (Desert horned lizard), 72 nucleotides long. The record is from the annotation of a GenBank genome assembly. NCBI's taxonomy places the organism in Eukaryota, Metazoa, Chordata, Lepidosauria, Squamata, Phrynosomatidae.
GGCAGCGCAGUGUAAUGGUUUCAGCUUUAUACUAUGACUCUGGAGAACAGGGUUCAAUUCCCAGCUCAGCCA